This 1650-nucleotide ribosomal RNA is filed under the name Candidatus Campbelliibacteriota bacterium. Its description in RNAcentral is "partial 23S ribosomal RNA". It matches the Rfam family "Bacterial large subunit ribosomal RNA", at positions 1 to 1745 of the family's 2925-position model. The record is from RNAcentral. Lineage: Bacteria; Candidatus Campbelliibacteriota.
AAUAAGAAAUUCAUAAGGGCGUAUGGUGGAUGCCUUGACUCUAAAAGGCGAUGAAGGACGUGGCAUGUCUGCGAUAAGCUUCGGGUAGGUGACUAGCAACCUGUGAUCCGGAGAUUUCCGAAUGGGGGAACCCAAUCUGUUGAACACAGAUUACCUUGUAUCUGUAAAGGAUACUCGGAGUGCACCUGGGGAAGUGAAACAUCUCAGUACCCAGAGGAAAAGAAAACAAUGUCUAUUUAUUUAGAUAAUAUUUCGUAAGUAGCGGCGAGCGAAAGCGAAAGAGCCCAAACCAGCACAUCACAUGGCAUGUGAUGUGAGUAUAAAGUUUAUAAAGUUUAUAAAGUCAAAAGUUUUUAACUUGCGACUUUUAACUUUUUACUUUUAACUCGCACAUCAUAUUUCAUGUGAUGUGCUGGGGUUGUAGGACAACAGUGUCAUUCUUGUAAUGAAAAAAGUCAAAAAAUAUUUUGUUAGUUGAAUCUGCUGGGAAGCAGGACCCUAGAGGGUAAUAGUCCCGUAAACGAAAACAAUCUAUCUUUUUUAUUGUUGUUCCUGAGUACCUCAAGACACGAAUGGCUUGGGGGAAUCUGCCGGAACUAACCGGUAAGGCUAAAUACUUUUAGAGAUCGAUAGUGANNGAAACCAUAUGCCUACAAGGAGUGGGAGCCGUCGUAUCUUACUGCGUAAGAACGACGGAAUUAUAAAUGAUAAAUUUUUAAUUUCGUCGCAUCUUGCAUAGCAAGAUGCGACGGUGACCGCGUGCCUAUUGAAGAAUNNNNNNNNNNNNNNNNNNNNNNNNNNNNNNNNNNNNNNNNNNNNNNNNNNNNNNNNNNNNNNNNNNNNNNNNNCUGGUUCUCUCCGAAAUAGCUUUAGGGUUAGCGUCUAGAUUACCUACUGGGGGUAGAGCACUGGAAGGAUUGAAUAGGGGGAAACUUCGUCAAUCCUAUCAAACUCCGAAUACCAGUAGUCAAUUUCUAGGCAGUUAGACUGUGGGGGCUAAGCUCCAUUGGUCNNUAAAGAUAGCGUAACAGCUCACUCAUCAAGAGAUAUUGCGCCGCAAAUAAUCGGGGCUAAGUAUGGUACCGAAGGUUAGGAUGUCACAUUUUUAAUGUGGCGUGGUAGGAGAGCAUUCUGUUCUGCAAUGAAGCCAAAGGCGUAAGCCAUGGUGGAGCGUACAGAAGCGAGAAUGUUGGCACAAGUAACCGCAAUGCAGGUGAGAUCCCUGCACGCCGAAAGACUAAGGUUUCCUUCGCAAUGGUGAUCAGCGAAGGGUUAGUCGGGCCUAAGGAGAUGGUGAAAACCGGAUCUGAUGGACAUACGGUUAAUAUUCCGUAACUUCUUUAUAUUUCGAUGGAGUGACGGAGGACACAAGUAAGAGCACAUUAUUGGAUUUGUGUAUUUUAUUUUAAGAAUUGUUUCUUAGGAAAAUCCGGGAAACUGACUUUAAUGUCGAAUUUCGUAAAUAGAUUAAAUUUCUUCCCUCGGGUUGGAAAAUUCUUACGAAGAGCCUUCCAAGAAAAGCUUCUAAGGUUAAGUAUAAAGAACCCGUACCGUAAACCGACACAGGUAGUCAGGUCGAGAAGACCAAGGCGAACGAGUGAUAAUUCCCCAAGGAACUCGGCAAAAUAGCAGCCGUAACUUCGGAAUAAG